AUUGAACGCUGGCGGCAUGCUUUACACAUGCAAGUCGAACGGUAACAGGUUAAGCUGACGAGUGGCGAACGGGUGAGUAAUGCAUCGGAACGUGCCCGAUCGUGGGGGAUAACGCAGCGAAAGCUGCGCUAAUACCGCAUACGAUCUGAGGAUGAAAGCGGGGGACCGUAAGGCCUCGCGCGAUCGGAGCGGCCGAUGUCAGAUUAGGUAGUUGGUGGGGUAAAGGCUCACCAAGCCGACGAUCUGUAGCUGGUCUGAGAGGACGACCAGCCACACUGGGACUGAGACACGGCCCAGACUCCUACGGGAGGCAGCAGUGGGGAAUUUUGGACAAUGGGCGAAAGCCUGAUCCAGCAAUGCCGCGUGCAGGAAGAAGGCCUUCGGGUUGUAAACUGCUUUUGUACGGAGCGAAAAGGCUCUCUCUAAUACAGGGGGCUCAUGACGGUACCGUAAGAAUAAGCACCGGCUAACUACGUGCCAGCAGCCGCGGUAA
Molecule: ribosomal RNA, 493 nt
Filed under: uncultured bacterium
Lineage: Bacteria
Description: partial 16S ribosomal RNA
Rfam family: Bacterial small subunit ribosomal RNA
Source: RNAcentral